AAAAAAUAUAAAAAAAAUCAAUGAAAAUAGUGGUGUAAAAAUUAAAAGGCAUGAUUUUUUUCAACAUGGAGUGAUCAAAUUUUUUCAUUUUUUAUUUUUUCUUCUCAUUUUUUUUUUUCUUUUUGGAGAUCUAUAAGAAGGAAAAGAUUAGAGAGAAAAAACUGUCGUCGAUGAUGAUGGGGAGAAAAAUGAUGGUGGAGACUAGUGAGAGGUGGUGGCGAUGAGAGCAAGAAGGAGGUUGGCAUCUCUCUUUUUCGGAGAUCUAUGAGAAGAAAAGCACCUGAGGGAGAUUGAAGUAGGGAUGCCAAUGACAAUUAGGAGGAAGGCAACAAUAGAAAUUAGCGGAAGGUGGCAGUAUGGAGAGUGGGGAGGAGGUGGGUGUCUAUGAGGGCUCGAAACGACGAUGGUGGAGACUAGCAGGAGGUGGUUGUGGAGGUGGGCGUCCGCAAGGGUUCGAGAAGGUAAUGGCAGAGAUUGGCAGGAGGUGGCAACGAAAAAAACGGAGAGGAGGUGGGCACCGCAAUGGCUUAGGACGGCGAUGGCAGAGAUAAGUGGGAGAUGCUAGUGGAGGUGAGCAUCCGCGAGGGCUCAGGAGGGUGAUGGUGGAGACUGACGAGAGGUGGUAGGUGAGGUGGGCAUUUGUAAGGGCUCGAAAAGAUGACGAUGGAGACCAACAGGAGAUGAUAGUUGAGGUGGACAUUCACGAGGGCUUGGGAAGGUGAUGGUGGAGACCAGCGAGAAGGUGGCAGCAAGGAGAGUAGGGAGGUGAUGGGCAUCCAUGAGGGCUUGGGAAGGCGAUGGCGGAGAUCAAUGGAUGGUGGUAAUGAAGGUGGGCAUCUGCAAGGGCUCGAGAAUGUGGUGGCAGCAAGGAGAGCAUGGGGGAGGUGGGCAUCUGUGAGGUCUCAGGAAGGCAACGAUAGAGACUGGUGGGAGG
RNAcentral lists this long non-coding RNA (934 nucleotides) under Elaeis guineensis (African oil palm). Its description in RNAcentral is "long non-coding RNA (EGUI_LNC029688)". The record is from RNAcentral. Lineage: Eukaryota; Viridiplantae; Streptophyta; Magnoliopsida; Arecales; Arecaceae.